Molecule: ribosomal RNA, 238 nt
Filed under: uncultured Lactobacillus sp.
Lineage: Bacteria; Bacillati; Bacillota; Bacilli; Lactobacillales; Lactobacillaceae
Description: partial 16S ribosomal RNA
Rfam family: Bacterial small subunit ribosomal RNA
Source: RNAcentral
CCGUGCCCAAGAGAUCGGGAUAACACCUGGAAACAGAUGCUAAUACCGGAUAACAACAGAUGAUGCCUAUCAACUGUUUAAAAGAUGGUUCUGCUAUCACUCUUGGAUGGACCUGCGGUGCAUUAGCUAGUUGGUAGGGUAACGGCCUACCAAGGCGAUGAUGCAUAGCCGAGUUGAGAGACUGAUCGGCCACAUUGGGACUGAGACACGGCCCAAACUCCUACGGGAGGCAGCAGCC